AAGUCGUAACAAGGUCUCCGUAGGUGAACCUGCGGAGGGAUCAUUAACACGUUUUAAAACACGUAUUAUUUCUUAUACCAACCAACCCGUGAACUACAUAAACUAACUAUUAAUACCCGACCUGGGAGUAGAGAGAUUGUCUCUGUGCACAUAGUGAUGGGUGCUGUAUUAAUCUUUACGGAUUGAUAUAGUGCUGUGCGUUUAGACUAAAAGGCUUUUUGACCUUUGAGGUCUCUCUCUUUCAGGCUUUAAUCUAGUAUUCCUUCCAUCACUGGAAGCCAAAACCCAAAACCACUUUCACCCCUUUAUAACCACUUGACUGAUAUCUCUUCAUGAUUUACAAUCUUUGUUGUAAAUCUGAACAGAACUAAAUCAAAUAUCUAAAGCACAACUCUUAGCAACGGAUAUCUUGGUUCUC
RNAcentral lists this unclassified non-coding RNA (418 nucleotides) under fungal sp. RNAcentral's name for it is "partial internal transcribed spacer region". The stretch from base 1 to 46 matches the Rfam family "Eukaryotic small subunit ribosomal RNA", at positions 1786 to 1831 of the family's 1831-position model. Lineage: Eukaryota; Fungi. The record is from RNAcentral.